ACAUCUGCGGUGUGGCUGAUUAUGUGACCGGGGAGGAUAUCGAUGACCUCAUGAUUAUGAAUGAGAUAUCUGCUCCACCGGUGUUGCAUAAGACAGCCAACGCUGAUGAGCUCGUGGUUAUGGGUGAGUUCUCCUCGCCACCUGCACUGCAGCAGAAGAAGGCCAGUGCUGAUGGUGUGUGCCAUGAGGAUGAACCUGCACUGCAGCAGAAGAAGGCCAGUGCUGAUGGUGUGUGCCAUGAGGAUGAUGAUGAUUGUGUAGUUCUAGAUGGUGACCCUGAUAAGGUGGUUACAGUUGCUGAUGCGGGGAGCGCGGGAGAUGGCAGUUCGGAUGAAUUGCAGAUAGUCGCG
Molecule: long non-coding RNA, 350 nt
Filed under: Sorghum bicolor (sorghum)
Lineage: Eukaryota; Viridiplantae; Streptophyta; Magnoliopsida; Poales; Poaceae
Description: long non-coding RNA (SBIC_LNC000483)
Source: RNAcentral